RNAcentral lists this ribosomal RNA (465 nucleotides) under uncultured bacterium. Its description in RNAcentral is "partial 16S ribosomal RNA". It matches the Rfam family "Bacterial small subunit ribosomal RNA", at positions 28 to 504 of the family's 1533-position model. The record is from RNAcentral.
GACGAACGCUGACGGCGUGCUUAACACAUGCAAGUCGAACGGAAAGGCCCUGCUUUUGUGGGGUGCUCGAGUGGCGAACGGGUGAGUAACACGUGAGUAACCUGCCCUUGACUUUGGGAUAACUUCAGGAAACUGGGGCUAAUACCGGAUAGGAGCUCCUGCUGCAUGGUGGGGGUUGGAAAGUUUCGGCGGUUGGGGAUGGACUCGCGGCUUAUCAGCUUGUUGGUGGGGUAGUGGCUUACCAAGGCUUUGACGGGUAGCCGGCCUGAGAGGGUGACCGGCCACAUUGGGACUGAGAUACGGCCCAGACUCCUACGGGAGGCAGCAGUGGGGAAUAUUGCACAAUGGGCGGAAGCCUGAUGCAGCAACGCCGCGUGCGGGAUGACGGCCUUCGGGUUGUAAACCGCUUUCGCCUGUGACGAAGCGUGAGUGACGGUAAUGGGUAAAGAAGCACCGGCUAACUAC